CAUUUGUCCCAGCAUCACAAAUCGUGCAUAUCAGAAGAGUAAAAACUGUACAAGUGAGAAGGAUUCGCAUCUUUAAUUGCUGCGUGAAAAAGUUAUGUCAUGGCGUUUCUCGUAGAACCACUGUUUCAAUCUUAAAUUCAACGGUCGUCAAGAAAAAUCCAUCAACUUCAGGGAGCUCUGGUAAGUCGACGGGGAUAAUACAUGAUUAUGUAGAAUCCAAAUCAACAGAUGUAAUUGAUUAUAAUUCGAUUGUAUCCGGCCCUGACGAAGCUACUAGCAAAGGCACUGACAUGUCUAUGAGUUUUUCCAUGCCUGAUAAACAACUACCGAAAACGCAAAAAUUUUGACCAUGAUUGAUUCAUCGUCAAGUGUCUCAGUUUUUGGCGCUGAGACACCUUCUGUUGGACUAGGACCUACCGAGACACGCUCAAACACUUUAUUAGAAUUACUUUUGAGUUCUACUAACGUUAUGAGGGUUGUGAGCGAGUCCACGCCACUCAAAAUAACUGCUGAUGUUACUGUCCCACCAAUGACUACCGAGCUGAUAACAUCAACUCCAAUAUCGAUCAACGAGGCGAGCGUUACCGCGUCAUC
Neocloeon triangulifer is the source of this 594-nucleotide long non-coding RNA. RefSeq lists it as uncharacterized. Lineage: Eukaryota; Metazoa; Arthropoda; Insecta; Ephemeroptera; Baetidae. The record is from RefSeq and is a predicted model, not a curated record. The transcript is spliced from 4 exons.